UACGUAGGGGCCUAGCGUUGUCCGGAUUUAUUGGGCGUAAAGAGCUCGUAGGCGGUUCGGCAAGUCGGAUGUGAAAUCUCCACGCUCAACGUGGAGGCGCCAUUCGAAACUGCCGUGACUCGAGUCCGGUAGGGGAGUGUGGAAUUCCCGGUGUAGCGGUGAAAUGCGCAGAUAUCAGGAGGAACACCAAUAGCGAAGGCAGCUCGCUGGGACGUUACUGACACUGAGGCGCGAAAGCGUGGGGAGCGAACAGG
This 254-nucleotide ribosomal RNA is filed under the name uncultured bacterium. RNAcentral describes it as "partial 16S ribosomal RNA". It matches the Rfam family "Bacterial small subunit ribosomal RNA", at positions 524 to 776 of the family's 1533-position model. The record is from RNAcentral.